ACUGCCGGUGUAAACCGAGAGGAAGGUGGGGAUGACGUCAAAUCAGCACGGCCCUUAUGUCCAGGGCUACACACGUGUUACAAUGGUCGAUACAAUGGGCAGCUACCUGGUGACAGGAUGCUAAUCUCCAAAGUCGAUCUCAGUUCGGAUCGAAGUCUGCAACUCGACUUCGUGAAGUUGGAUUCGCUAGUAAUCGUAUAUCAGCAAUGAUACGGUGAAUACGUUCCCGGGCCUUGUACACACCGCCCGUCAAACCAUGGAAGCUGGGGGUGCCUGAAGUACGUUACCGCAAGGAGCGUCCUAGGGUAAAACUAGUGACUGGGGUUAAGUCGUAACAAGGUAGCCGUACCGGAAGGUGUGGCUGGAACACCUCCUUU
Molecule: ribosomal RNA, 377 nt
Filed under: Spirochaetales bacterium
Lineage: Bacteria; Pseudomonadati; Spirochaetota; Spirochaetia; Spirochaetales
Description: bacterial SSU rRNA
Rfam family: Bacterial small subunit ribosomal RNA
Source: RNAcentral